Molecule: ribosomal RNA, 460 nt
Filed under: uncultured bacterium
Lineage: Bacteria
Description: partial 16S ribosomal RNA
Rfam family: Bacterial small subunit ribosomal RNA
Source: RNAcentral
CCUACGGGAGGCAGCAGUGAGGAAUAUUGGUCAAUGGACGAGAGUGUGAACCAGCCAAGUAGCGUGAAGGAUGACUGCCCUAUGGGUUGUAAACUUCUUUUAUAAAGGAAUACAACGAGGCACGUGUGCCUUUUGGCAUGUACUUUAUGAAUAAGGAUCGGCUAACUCCGUGCCAGCAGCAGCGGUAAUACGGAGGAUCCGAGCGUUAUCCGGAUUUAUUGGGUUUAAAGGGAGCGUAGAUGGGUUGUUAAGUCAGUUGUGAAAGUUUGCGGCUCAACCGUUAAAUUGCAAUUGAUACUGGCUGUCUUGAGUGCAGGUGAGGUAGGCGGAAUUCGUGGUGUAGCGGUGAAAUGCUUAGAUAUCACGAAGAACCCCGAUUGCGAAGGCAGCUUACUAAACUGUGACUGACAUUGAUGCUCGAAAGUGUGGGUAUCAAACAGGAUUAGAUACCCUUGUAGUC